Small nuclear RNA from Pan troglodytes (chimpanzee), 103 nucleotides. Lineage: Eukaryota; Metazoa; Chordata; Mammalia; Primates; Hominidae. The record is from Ensembl.
GUGCUUCUUCAGCAGCACAUAUACUAAAAUUGGAACGAUACAGAAAUUAGCAUGGUCCCUGCUCAAAGAUGACAUGAAAAUUCAUGAAGCAUUCCACGUUUUA